GAUGAACGCUAGCGGCAGGCCUAAUACAUGCAAGUCGAGGGGCAGCGCGGUAGCAAUACUGGCGGCGACCGGCGCACGGGUGCGUAACACGUAUGCAACCUACCUUCAACUGGAGGAUAGCCCGGGGAAACUCGGAUUAAUACUCCAUAACACAGGGAUCCCGCAUGGGAAUAUUGUUAAAGCUACGGCGGUUGAAGAUGGGCAUGCGUUCGAUUAGCUAGUUGGUGUAGGUAACGGCUCACCAAGGCUACGAUCGAUAGGGGGUCUGAGAGGAUGAUCCCCACACUGGUACUGAGAUACGGACCAGACUCCUACGGGA
RNAcentral lists this ribosomal RNA (319 nucleotides) under uncultured bacterium. Its description in RNAcentral is "bacterial SSU rRNA". It matches the Rfam family "Bacterial small subunit ribosomal RNA", at positions 28 to 346 of the family's 1533-position model. The record is from RNAcentral.